GACGUAGGGCGCGAGCGUUGUCCGGAUUUAUUGGGCGUAAAGAGCUCGUAGGCGGCUCAUCGCGUCAACCGUGAAAACCAGCAGCUCAACUGUUGGCUUGCGGUUGAUACGGGUGGGCUGGAGUUCGGUAGGGGAGACUGGAAUUCCUGGUGUAGCGGUGAAAUGCGCAGAUAUCAGGAGGAACACCGGUGGCGAAGGCGGGUCUCUGGGCCGAUACUGACGCUGAGGAGCGAAAGCGUGGGGAGCGAACAGG
Molecule: ribosomal RNA, 253 nt
Filed under: uncultured bacterium
Lineage: Bacteria
Description: partial 16S ribosomal RNA
Rfam family: Bacterial small subunit ribosomal RNA
Source: RNAcentral